AUGUGGAGAAGGGCUGUGUGUUUGAUUGCAAGAAGACCCUUUUCAUCAGAACCAGAAAUUCCAACCCUUUAUUCGUUUCUGCAGCCUUCAGUUUUUUCACUAAAGAGAUCAAACAAAGAACCCUUAAACCCCUUACCAAAACCUCAAGAGUCCACUUCAAAAGGGCUAUCCCAAGAUCACAUUACCACUCUUGAGUCCACUCUUCAGUCCUCCCUCAUCAGCCAAAACAUAGAUGAAGCAUGGAAAUCUUUCAAAACCCUCACCAAUUCCUCUUCUUUUCCCAGUAAAUCCCUUACGAAUUCACUAAUUAGCCACUUGUCUUCAUUAAAUGAUACUCACAAUCUUAAAAGAGCAUUUGCAACAGUUGUCUAUUUGAUAGAAAAGAAUCCAGAAUUGUUAGAAUAUGAAUCUGUAAUGACCGUUUUGAAUUCUAUGAAGAAUGGCAAUACUGCUGCCCCUGUUAUUGCAUUGGUUAAGUGUAUGUUCAAGAACAGAUUUUUCCUGCCUUUUAAGUUGUGGGGUGGUGUUCUGGUCCAUAUUAGUAGGAAAAGCGGUAGCUUUGUCGCGUAUUUGAGCAUUUUUAACGAGACUUGUAGGAUUGCUAUUGAUGAGAAGUUAGACUUCUUGAAGCCUGAUUUGAUAGCUUGUAAUGCUGCAUUGGAGGGGUGUUGCUGUGAGAUUGAAUCUGUUACUGAGGCUGAUAGAGUUGUAGAGAUGAUGUCUGUAUUGGGUAUUAGGCCCGAUGAGUUUAGCUUCAGUUACCUUGGGUAUUUGUAUGCCUUGAAGGGGCUUGAGGGCAAAAUUUCUGAGUUAGAAGCUUUGAUUGGAAAAUUUGGCCUUUCUAGCAAAAAUGUUUUUCUUAGUAAAUUGGUUAGUGGAUAUUUGAAGUCAGGUAACUUGGAUUUUGUUUCGGCAACUAUUCUGCGUAGUGUCAAAGAAGGGAAUGAACAAGGUGCAUGCUUUACUGAAGAAACUUAUGGUGAAGUUGUUAAAGGAUAUCUUGAAAAGGGGAGCACAAAAGUUUUGGCAAACCUGAUUGUUGAAGCUCAGAAGUUGGAACCUUCAUCUGUUAUAGUUGAGAGAACUAUUGGAUUUGGUAUUAUCAAUGCUUGCGUUAGCAAUGGUUUGUUAGAUAAGGCACAUAGCAUUGUUGAUGAAAUGAAUGCACAAGGAGCUAGUGUUGGGUUGGGGGUUUAUGCGUCAAUCUUAAAAGCUUAUUGCAGAGAGCAACGAACGGCUGAAGCUGCUCAAUUGGUUGCAGAGAUAAGUAAUUCCGGACUCCAGUUGGAUGUUGAUAGUUAUGAUGCUCUAAUAGAGGCAUCCAUGUCUUGUCAAGACUUUCAAUCAGCUUUUUCUUUGUUUAGGGACAUGAGAGAAGCAAGAAUACCUGACCUGAAAGCGAGCUAUCUGACUAUAAUGACAGGUUUAACUGAAAGCCAUCGACCUGAACUGAUGGCAGCAUUCUUGGAUGAGGUUGUCGGGGACCCUCGAAUUGAAAUUGGUACCCACGAUUGGAAUUCAAUUAUCCAUGCUUUCUGUAAGGCUGGGAGACUGGAAGAUGCCAGGAGGACUUUGAGGAGGAUGAUUUUCCUUCAAUUCGAGCCAAAUGAACAGACUUAUCUUUCCCUAAUUAAUGGGUAUGUGGCAGCAGAGAAGUAUUUUAGCGUUUUGAUGUUAUGGAAUGAGGUGAAGAGAAAGGUUUCGAUUGAAGGGGAGAAGAAAAUCAAGCUAGACAAUAACUUGGUUGACGCUUUCCUAUAUGCUUUGGUUAAAGGGGGUUUCUUUGACGCUGUGAUGCAAGUUGUGGAGAAAUCUCAAGCAAUGAAGAUAUUUGUUGAUAAAUGGAGGUACAAACAAGCAUUCAUGGAGACACACAAGAAGCUCAGAGUUUCAAAGUUGAGGAGGAGGAACUUCAGGAAAAUGGAAGCACUGAUCGCAUUCAAGAACUGGGCUGGUCUAAAUGCAUGAUGAAUCUUUUUAAUUAUUUUCUGCAGAAAUGCCCAGUGCUCCUGCUUGUAGGAUUACUUCAACAAGCAGGUCUUGAUGUUUCAUUUAGCAAAGCUAAACUGAUGCUGGUUCUUGUUACGCUUGAAGUUAAGGUAUUCUUGAAAGCCUCAGAUCUUUCCAUAUUGUAUAGUGCGUAAUAUCUGAAGCACUCACAAAGGCAAAAAUAUAUCCAGUUUUCUUGACCGAGAUGAUAUUCCAGCUGCAAGGCCUGCUGCUAUUCAUAGGAAAAGGGCAACAAGGGGAGGAAGGCUGAGGAAAAUUUAAAGACUUAUCUGCUUCAUUGGAAUAAGUUAGUGUUACAUGAGUUUCAUCAUUUUUUAUUCUCUUGAUUUCCCAAUUAGCAGCUUCAGUUCUGCAUGUUGCUGCUAUUUCCUUUGCUAGGGAUACAGAGAACAUGUAACACUUGGAUAUACGGAAUGCAAGUACAAGAACUCAGGAAGCUUUAUAUUGGAUCGCGAGAGCCCAUUCAGCAUAACAACAGACAAUGUAUUUGUUCUGCUUGGAUGCUCCACAACAUCUCCAGUGUUUGAUAAAAGACAAGAUCUAUGCGAUACAGGUUCAGGCUCAAAUAUAUGCAGAGGCUUGUAUUCUUGCAAUGCAAUUACUGGGAUUGGGUUGGUACCAAGUGCACCAAUAUCCACCUGUUGUGUUUAUGAACCUCCAAUUCCUCUCGGUUCAGGUUAUGGUUUGGAUCUUCCUAAGCUCCAAUGCUCAUCAUAUUCAUCAGUUAUUGGUUUUGGAGGGGACGAAGGAAAUCCAAUGAAAUGGCAGUAUGGGAUUCCAUUGCAAUUCAAUGGCUCAUAUUAUACAGAAUCGUGCAAAAACUGCGAGGAUAGUGGAGGGUCCUGUGGUUUUUCUGGUUUCAACCAGUCAUUUGCCUGUAUUUGCAAGAAUGGAAUGAAUACCACCAUCAAUUGCUACGGACGAGGAUAUGCUUGGAGUGGGACAUGGAGACGCAGAAUUCAAACGAAAUUAUGUCUCGGAGGAUUUCUGAUCGUGUGGAUGACACUUUUCAUUUGAAGAAGCAAUUCUUUAUUUUGGUUUUCCAGCUGUGGGUGGAAGAGUUCCGGAAUUGCCUGAGAGAUUGUCGCUUUGGAAACAUCUUCUUCUAGUGCUAUAUUGUCUAUUUCUUUCUUUCUUUCCUUUUGGCAGAUGUAAAAUGACAGAGGGAUUUCCACAAAAGUUGCUCUACAGUUUCUUUAUCCAAUACCCGAUGUGCAUGGUGUGUGCCAAUGUUCUAUUCGACUGCACAAGAAGUUUAGGAACAUGGAUUUAGUCCAUAACCAUUGUGAUUAAGAUGAAGAUGGAAGGUGAAAUGUGAGCAGAUUAUACAUAAGACUGCCAAAUUAGGCUGCAGUUAUCAAACCAGUGACACAGUUACCAACGGGUUAACUAUACAAUUGUCAUUUGUCAA
RNA transcript from Coffea eugenioides, 3421 nucleotides. It is a transcript of the gene named pentatricopeptide repeat-containing protein At1g69290, with no coding region annotated. NCBI's taxonomy places the organism in Eukaryota, Viridiplantae, Streptophyta, Magnoliopsida, Gentianales, Rubiaceae. The record is from RefSeq and is a predicted model, not a curated record. The transcript is spliced from 4 exons.